RNAcentral lists this long non-coding RNA (227 nucleotides) under Lathyrus oleraceus (garden pea). RNAcentral describes it as "Pisum sativum (pea) long non-coding RNA (PSAT_LNC024918)". The record is from RNAcentral. Lineage: Eukaryota; Viridiplantae; Streptophyta; Magnoliopsida; Fabales; Fabaceae.
UCUAGAUUUAAUUUGUCUGUUAAAGGUACAUUAUGCUGCAAAUGUGUCAAGUCUGUGUUGACAGGUUGGAAAUAGUAAUGAUCACGAUUGAGAGUGGAUGAAAGGAUCACACUACUCACCAUGGCUUGUUGUGAAGGAUCUCCCCAGAAAGUGACACUGCUGAAAGUAAAGAUCGGACGCAACGUAUACAGCUUAAUCGACAAGAGUAUCCUGCACAUUCCGAAGUA